GCCGCUGUGGCUCAGGUGGUAGAGCGGCUUGUCCACUAAUCAUGGGGUUGGCGGUUCGAUUCUUGGCCCACGUGACU
Molecule: non-coding RNA, 77 nt
Organism: Ameiurus melas (black bullhead)
Lineage: Eukaryota; Metazoa; Chordata; Actinopteri; Siluriformes; Ictaluridae
Source: the annotation of a GenBank genome assembly